UUCCCACAGCCACGCAGUGGCUACAUCGUAAAUAUUCAUGAGUUGUUUUGUUUUGUUUUCUGGUAUUAAUUUAAAGUUAGGUUUAAGGUUAGCAGUGUGGAAAAUGUAAGGAGCAAGAAAACGGCAACAAAACAGGAGUUUGUCUUUGAAGCAGUGGUCAAUGAUCAUGCACAAUGGCCGUGUCCGUUAUCUCAUCUUCUUCCAAUACCUCGGGACAAAGUACAGUGGCGUUAUGAAGGCGCCUCCACACCAAGCAGUCAAGGGUGUCCAGAACUACUUGGAGGUCCUGGAUGGCAGGAAGCUUGGCCCCAGUGAUGUACUGGGCCGUACCCACCUCCCAGUGAUGUACUGGGCCGUACCCACUACCCAGUGAUGUACUGGGCCGUACCCACUACCCUCUGCCUUACGUUCAGAUUAUUUUC
Long non-coding RNA from Oncorhynchus tshawytscha (Chinook salmon), 422 nucleotides. Lineage: Eukaryota; Metazoa; Chordata; Actinopteri; Salmoniformes; Salmonidae. The record is from Ensembl.